Molecule: ribosomal RNA, 985 nt
Filed under: uncultured bacterium
Lineage: Bacteria
Description: bacterial SSU rRNA
Rfam family: Bacterial small subunit ribosomal RNA
Source: RNAcentral
GCAAGUCGAGCGGAGAUUUGAAAAGCUUGCUUUUCAAAUCUUAGCGGCGGACGGGUGAGUAACACGUGGGCAACCUGCCCUUGAGACGGGGAUAACUCCGGGAAACCGGAGCUAAUACCGGAUAACACAUAUCUUCGCAUGAGGAUAUGUUAGAAGGUGGCUUUUAGCUACCACUCAAGGAUGGGCCCGCGGCGCAUUAGCUAGUUGGUGAGGUAACGGCUCACCAAGGCGACGAUGCGUAGCCGACCUGAGAGGGUGAUCGGCCACACUGGGACUGAGACACGGCCCAGACUCCUACGGGAGGCAGCAGUAGGGAAUCUUCCGCAAUGGACGAAAGUCUGACGGAGCAACGCCGCGUGAGUGAUGAAGGUUUUCGGAUCGUAAAGCUCUGUUGUUAGGGAAGAACAAGUACCUGUUAAAUAAGCAGGUACCUUGACGGUACCUAACCAGAAAGCCACGGCUAACUACGUGCCAGCAGCCGCGGUAAUACGUAGGUGGCAAGCGUUGUCCGGAAUUAUUGGGCGUAAAGCGCGCGCAGGCGGUUCCUUAAGUCUGAUGUGAAAGCCCACGGCUCAACCGUGGAGGGUCAUUGGAAACUGGGGAACUUGAGUGCAAAGAGGAGAGCGGAAUUCCACGUGUAGCGGUGAAAUGCGUAGAGAUGUGGAGGAACACCAGUGGCGAAGGCGGCUCUCUGGUCUGUAACUGACGCUAAGGCGCGAAAGCGUGGGGAGCGAACAGGAUUAAAUACCCUGGUAGUCCACGCCGUAAACGAUGAGUGCUAAUUGUUAGAGGGUUUCCGCCCUUUAGUGCUGCAGCAAACGCAUUAAGCACUCCGCCUGGGGAGUACGGUCGCAAGACUGAAACUCAAAGGAAUUGACGGGGACCCCCACAAGCGGUGGAGCAUGUGGUUUAAUUCAAAGCAACGCGAAGAACCUUACCAGGUCUUGACAUCCUCUGCUACUUCUAGAGAUAGAAGGUUCCCUUC